This 460-nucleotide ribosomal RNA is filed under the name uncultured bacterium. RNAcentral describes it as "partial 16S ribosomal RNA". It matches the Rfam family "Bacterial small subunit ribosomal RNA", at positions 338 to 795 of the family's 1533-position model. The record is from RNAcentral.
CCUACGGGAGGCUGCAGUGAGGAAUAUUGGUCAAUGGCCGAGAGGCUGAACCAGCCAAGUCGCGUGAGGGAAGACGGCCCUACGGGUUGUAAACCUCUUUUGUCGGGGAGCAAAGCGAGUCACGUGUGACUCAUUGAGAGUACCCGAAGAAAAAGCAUCGGCUAACUCCGUGCCAGCAGCCGCGGUAAUACGUAGGGUGCGAGCGUUAAUCGGAAUUACUGGGCGUAAAGGGUGCGCAGGCGGUUGAGUAAGACAGAUGUGAAAUCCCCGAGCUUAACUCGGGAAUGGCAUAUGUGACUGCUCGACUAGAGUGUGUCAGAGGGAGGUGGAAUUCCACGUGUAGCAGUGAAAUGCGUAGAUAUGUGGAAGAACACCGAUGGCGAAGGCAGCCUCCUGGGACAUAACUGACGCUCAGGCACGAAAGCGUGGGGAGCAAACAGGAUUAGAUACCCCGGUAGUC